RNAcentral lists this ribosomal RNA (524 nucleotides) under uncultured alga. Its description in RNAcentral is "bacterial SSU rRNA". It matches the Rfam family "Bacterial small subunit ribosomal RNA", at positions 358 to 896 of the family's 1533-position model. The record is from RNAcentral.
GGAAUUUUCCGCAAUGGGCGAAAGCCUGACGGAGCAAUACCGCGUGAGGGAUGACGGCCUAUGGGUUGUAAACCUCUUUUUUCAGGGAGGAAAAAAAUGACGUUACCUGAAGAAUAAGCAUCGGCUAACUCCGUGCCAGCAGCCGCGGUAAGACGGAGGAUGCAAGUGUUAUCCGGAAUCACUGGGCGUAAAGCGUCUGUAGGUGGUUUAAUAAGUCAACUGUUAAAUCUUGAGGCUCAACCUCGAAACCGCAGUCGAAACUAUUAGACUAGAGUAUAGUAGGGGUAAAGGGAAUUUCCAGUGGAGCGGUGAAAUGCGUAGAGAUUGGAAAGAACACCGAUGGCGAAGGCACUUUACUGGGCUAUUACUAACACUGAGAGACGAAAGCUAGGGUAGCAAAUGGGAUUAGAUACCCCAGUAGUCCUAGCUGUAAACAAUGGAUACUAGAUGUUGAACAGAUCGACCUGUGCAGUAUCAAAGCUAACGCGUUAAGUAUCCCGCCUGGGAAGCAUGCUCGCAGAGUG